RNAcentral lists this ribosomal RNA (489 nucleotides) under uncultured bacterium. RNAcentral's name for it is "bacterial SSU rRNA". It matches the Rfam family "Bacterial small subunit ribosomal RNA", at positions 28 to 507 of the family's 1533-position model. The record is from RNAcentral.
GAUGAACGCUAGCGGGAGGCUUAACACAUGCAAGUCGAGGGGCAGCAUAGGGUAGCAAUACUCUGAUGGCGACCGGCAAACGGGUGAGUAACGCGUAUGCAACCUACCCUGUACAGGGGGAUAACCCGGAGAAAUUCGGACUAAUAUCCCGUAAUAAUAUCCGGAGGCAUCUUUGGAUAUUUAAAGUUCCGACGGUACGGGAUGGGCAUGCGUAACAUUAGCUGGUUGGUAAGGUAACGGCUUACCAAGGCUAUGAUGUUUAGGGGUCCUGAGAGGGUGGUCCCCCACACUGGUACUGAGACACGGACCAGACUCCUACGGGGAGGCAGCAGUGAGGAAUAUUGGUCAAUGGGCGCAAAGCCUGAACCAGCCAUCCCGCGUGCAGGAAGACGGCCUACUGGGUUGUAAACUGCUUUUCCAGGGAGAGAAACUUACGCACGUGUUGCGUGACUGACGGUACCCUGGGAAUAAGCAUCGGCUAACUCCGUG